GCUUGUCUCAAAGAUUAAGCCAUGCAUGUCUCAGAAUAAAUCUCUAUACGUUGAAUCUGCAAAUGGCUCUUUAAAACAGUUAUUGUUUACUUGAUGGUCAUUCCUUACAUGGAUAACUGUGGUAAUUCUAGAGCUAAUACAUGCGCCCAAACCCAACUUCUUGGAAGGGUUGUGUUUAUUAGAUACAGAACCAACCCAGGCUCCGCCUGGCCUUGAGGUGAUUCACAAUAACCGAACGAAUCGCAUAGCUGCCGCUGGCGAUAGACCAUUCAAGUUUCUGACCUAUCAGCUAUCGUCGGUAGGGUAUUGGCCUACCGUGGCAAUGACGGGUAACGGAGAAUUAGGGUUCGAUUCCGGAGAGGGAGCCUGAGAAACGGCUACCACAUCUAAGGAAGGCAGCAGG
RNAcentral lists this ribosomal RNA (403 nucleotides) under Gyrodinium helveticum. Its description in RNAcentral is "partial small subunit ribosomal RNA". It matches the Rfam family "Eukaryotic small subunit ribosomal RNA", at positions 30 to 432 of the family's 1831-position model. The record is from RNAcentral. Lineage: Eukaryota; Dinophyceae; Gymnodiniales; Gymnodiniaceae.